AAUGAACGUUGGCGGUGCGCCUUAUGCAUGCAAGUCGAACGGGGUUACAGUCUUCGGAUUGUAACCUAGUGGCGGACGGCUGAGUAACGCGUAAGUAACCUGCCUUAGAGUGGGAAAUAACCUGCCGAAAGGCAAGCUAAUGUCCCAGUGGUAACGAAGCGAAUGCUUUGUUAUUAAAGCCUUAGGGUGCUCGAAGAGGGACUUGCGUCUGAUUAGCUAGUUGGUAGGGUAAUGGCCUACCAAGGCGAUGAUCAGUAGCUGGUCUGAGAGGAUGGUCAGCCAGAUGGGGACUGAGACACGGCCCCAACUCCUACGGGAGGCAGCAGCAAGGAAUCUUGGGCAAUGAGCGAAAGCUUGACCCAGCGACACCGCGUGAGGGAUGAAGGCCUUCGGGUUGUAAACCUCUUUUCUUGGGGAAGAAUUCUGACGGUACCCAAGGAAUAAGCCUCGGCUAACUACGUGCCAGCAGCCGCGGUAAGACGUAGGAGGCGAACGUUAUUCGGAUUUACUGGGCGUAAAGGGAGCGUAGGCGGUUCCUUAAGUCAGAUGUGAAAUCUUCUGAUUCAAUCAGAAGGCGUCAUUUGAUACUGAGGGACUUGAGAGCAACAGAGGGAAAUGGAAUCCCCAGUGUAGCGGUGAAAUGCGUAGAUAUUGGGAGAACACCAGUGGCGAAGGCGAUUUCCCAGGUUGUUUCUGACGCUGAGGCUCGAAAGCGUGGGGAGCGAAGCGGAUUAGAUACCCGCGUAGUCCACGCCGUAAACGGUGGACACUAGAUAUGGGGAGUAUCGACCCUUUCCGUGUCGAAGCUAACGCCUUAAGUGUCCCGCCUGGGGAGACGGCCGCAAGGCU
This 849-nucleotide ribosomal RNA is filed under the name uncultured Chloroflexota bacterium. RNAcentral's name for it is "bacterial SSU rRNA". It matches the Rfam family "Bacterial small subunit ribosomal RNA", at positions 28 to 895 of the family's 1533-position model. Lineage: Bacteria; Bacillati; Chloroflexota. The record is from RNAcentral.